CCAAUAGCGUAUAUUAAAGUUGUUGCAGUUAAAAAGCUCGUAGUUGAAUUUCGGGAUUGACACAUCGGUCGUGCCUUAAGGGGUAUGAACUGGUGUAGUCAAUUUCUCACCUUCUGGAGAACCGCAAUGCCCUUAAUUGGGUGUCGCGGGGAACCAGGACCUUUACUUUGAAAAAAUUAGAGUGUUUAAAGCAGGCAUUUUGCUUGAAUACAUUAGCAUGGAAUAAUAAAAUAGGACGGCAUGAUUCUAUUUUGUUGGUUUCUAGGAUCACCGUAAUGAUUAAUAGGGAUAGUUGGGGGCAUUAGUAUUCAAUUGUCAGAGGUGAAAUUCUUGGAUUUAUUGAAGACUAACUACUGCGAAAGCAUUUGCCAAGGAUGUUUUCAUUAAUCAAGAACGAAAGUUAGGGGAUCGAAGACGAUCAGAUACCGUCAUAGUCUUAACCAUAAACUAUGCCGACUAGGAAUCAGACGAUGUUAAUUUUUUAAUGACUCGUUUGGCACCUUACG
Molecule: unclassified non-coding RNA, 506 nt
Filed under: uncultured Entrophospora
Lineage: Eukaryota; Fungi; Glomeromycota; Glomeromycetes; Entrophosporales; Entrophosporaceae
Description: SSU rRNA
Rfam family: Eukaryotic small subunit ribosomal RNA
Source: RNAcentral